AGUGAACGCUGGCGGCAGGCCUAAUACAUGCAAGUCGAACGGAAGCACAGUAAGCUUUCGCUCCUACGGGUGGCGAGUGGCGGACGGGUGAGGCAUACAUAGGAAUCUACUUUUUCGUGGGUGAUAACGGAGGGCAGCUUAUGCUAACAGCGCAUAUGAUCUACGGGAGAAAGCAAGAGAUAAUGGCAGUUUGCGUGUCUCUAAUAGCCGGAGCCGGAUUAGCUAGUUGGGGGGGUAAGGGCCUACCAAGGCGACGAUGCGUAGCCGACCUGAGAGGAUGAUCGGCCACACUGGAACUGAGACACGGUCCAGACUCCUACGGGAGGCAGCAGUAGGGAAUCUUGCGCAAUGGGCGCAAGCCUGAUCCAGCCAUGCCGCGUGGGUGAAGAAGGCCUUCGGGUUGUAAAGCCCUUUUAUUAGGGAAGAACAGCUGCGGAUUUAUCCCCCGCCGUUCUGACGGUACCCAAAGAGAAAGCACCGGCUAACUUCGUG
Molecule: ribosomal RNA, 492 nt
Filed under: uncultured bacterium
Lineage: Bacteria
Description: partial 16S ribosomal RNA
Rfam family: Bacterial small subunit ribosomal RNA
Source: RNAcentral